GAUGAAGAACGCAGCGAAAUGCGAUACUUGGUGUGAAUUGCAGAAUCCCGUGAACCAUCGAGUCUUUGAACGCAAGUUGCGCCUGAAGCCAUUAGGCUGAAGGCACGUCUGCCUGGGCGUCACACGUCGUUGCCCCCCCAUCUACUCCUUCGGGAUUGCGGGGGGCGGAUGAUGGCCUCCCGUGCGCCUCGUCGCGCGGUUGGCAUAAAUGCCAAGUCCUCGGCGACGCACGCCACGACAAUCGGUGGUUGCGAAACCUCGGUUGCCCGUCGUGUGCGGUCGUCGCGCAUCGAGGGCUCGAAAAAAUUGCCGGGCUCCGGCUCGGCUUUCAACGCGACCCCAGGUCAGGCGGGGUUACCCGCUGAAUUUAAGCAUAUCAAUAAGCGGAGGA
RNAcentral lists this unclassified non-coding RNA (391 nucleotides) under soil metagenome. Its description in RNAcentral is "partial contains 5.8S ribosomal RNA, internal transcribed spacer 2, and large subunit ribosomal RNA". The stretch from base 1 to 122 matches the Rfam family "5.8S ribosomal RNA", at positions 35 to 154 of the family's 154-position model. The record is from RNAcentral.